RNAcentral lists this ribosomal RNA (449 nucleotides) under uncultured bacterium. RNAcentral's name for it is "partial 16S ribosomal RNA". It matches the Rfam family "Bacterial small subunit ribosomal RNA", at positions 29 to 523 of the family's 1533-position model. The record is from RNAcentral.
AACGAACGCUGGCGGCAUGCCUAACACAUGCAAGUCGAACGAGAUCUUCGGGUCUAGUGGCGCACGGGUGCGUAACGCGUGGGAAUCUGCCCUUUGGUUCGGAAUAACAGCUGGAAACGACUGCUAAUACCGGAUGAUGACGAAAGUCCAAAGAUUUAUCGCCAGAGGAUGAGCCCGCGUAGGAUUAGAUAGUUGGUGUGGUAAAGGCGCACCAAGGCGACGAUCGUUAGCUGGUCUGAGAGGAUGAUCAGCCACACUGGGACUGGGACACGGCCCAGACUCCUACGGGAGGCAGCAGUGGGGAAUAUUGGACAAUGGGCGAAAGCCUGACCCAGCAAUGCCGCGUGAGUGAUGAAGGCCUAAGGGUUGUAAAGCUCUUUUACCCGGGAUGAUAAUGACAGUACCGGGAGAAUAAGCUCCGGCUAACUCCGUGCCAGCCGCCGCAGUAA